Molecule: ribosomal RNA, 465 nt
Filed under: Vreelandella stevensii
Lineage: Bacteria; Pseudomonadati; Pseudomonadota; Gammaproteobacteria; Oceanospirillales; Halomonadaceae
Description: partial 16S ribosomal RNA
Rfam family: Bacterial small subunit ribosomal RNA
Source: RNAcentral
CCUACGGGUGGCUGCAGUGGGGAAUAUUGGACAAUGGGCGAAAGCCUGAUCCAGCCAUGCCGCGUGUGUGAAGAAGGCCUUCGGGUUGUAAAGCACUUUCAGUGGGGAAGAAAGCCUUGGGGCUAAUACCCUCGAGGAAGGACAUCACCCACAGAAGAAGCACCGGCUAACUCCGUGCCAGCAGCCGCGGUAAUACGGAGGGUGCGAGCGUUAAUCGGAAUUACUGGGCGUAAAGCGCGCGUAGGCGGUCUGAUAAGCCGGUUGUGAAAGCCCCGGGCUCAACCUGGGAACGGCAUCCGGAACUGUCAGGCUAGAGUGCAGGAGAGGAAGGUAGAAUUCCCGGUGUAGCGGUGAAAUGCGUAGAGAUCGGGAGGAAUACCAGUGGCGAAGGCGGCCUUCUGGACUGAAACUGACGCUGAGGUGCGAAAGCGUGGGUAGCAAACAGGAUUAGAUACCCGAGUAGUC